RNAcentral lists this ribosomal RNA (497 nucleotides) under uncultured bacterium. RNAcentral describes it as "partial 16S ribosomal RNA". It matches the Rfam family "Bacterial small subunit ribosomal RNA", at positions 28 to 507 of the family's 1533-position model. The record is from RNAcentral.
GAUGAACGCUGGCGGCGUGCCUAAUACAUGCAAGUCGAGCGAACGGACGAGAAGCUUGCUUCUCUGAUGUUAGCGGCGGACGGGUGAGUAACACGUGGAUAACCUACCUAUAAGACUGGGAUAACUUCGGGAAACCGGAGCUAAUACCGGAUAAUAUUUUGAACCGCAUGGUUCAAAAGUGAAAGACGGUCUUUCUGUCACUUAUAGAUGGAUCCGCGCUGCAUUAGCUAGUUGGUAAGGUAACGGCUUACCAAGGCAACGAUGCAUAGCCGACCUGAGAGGGUGAUCGGCCACACUGGAACUGAGACACGGUCCAGACUCCUACGGGAGGCAGCAGUAGGGAAUCUUCCGCAAUGGGCGAAAGCCUGACGGAGCAACGCCGCGUGAGUGAUGAAGGUCUUCGGAUCGUAAAACUCUGUUAUUAGGGAAGAACAUAUGUGUAAGUAACUGUGCACAUCUUGUCGGUACCUAAUCAGAAAGCCACGGCUAACUACGUG